AGGAGUUGCUCUGCCUUGCUCGCUUGACCGCAGGCUAGGUGGGGAGGAGAGACCGGUUCUCGGGUCUCCCGGCUUCGGCCGGCUCGCCUUUUCGGCGGGCGGGUUGAGGUCGGGUGAGCCUUGCGGCCUGAGCUCGUCUGCUCGGUGCCGAUGACGCCAUGUCCGGCCUGGUCGGAGCCCUCGGCUCUCCAGGCUCGCUGGCGGCCCUUGGUGGGAUGCGGGGAUGGUGAUGGUGAUGAUGAUUCUUCGUCGUCGUUUUCUGCGUCCUGCCUCGGGUUUGAAUGUGCACCUGCCCCCCCCCCAGUGUAGGGUUGUGAGAAGGAAAAGGUGAUGGAGUUUCUUAGCUGUGGUGCUUGGUGUUAAGGUGGAUGGUUGGCCUGGCUGGCUUCGUCGCCGGUUGGGGCUGCCCGUCCGCCUCCCCCUUUGUUCCUGAACAAAGAAAAUAUCACACCGUACAGUGGAUCACUUGGCUCGGGGGUCGAUGAAGAACGCAGCUAGCUGCGAGUCGGAAUGUGAACUGCAGGACAUAUGGAGCAUCGACACUUUGAACGCACAUUGCGGACAUGGGCUUGUCCCCUGUCCAUGUCUGGCUCAGGGUCGGCUUUACAUCCAUCCAGCUUGAUUGCUGGCUUUGGGGUUUGUCUCCUCGGCUCGGCUUAGCUUCGAUGCUGAGGAGUCCCCCUAAGAUGUGCCGCCUGCCUAGCCGGAGGUGAGCUCCUUGCUGACUCUUGGGUGUGACUCUGCGUCUGCCUGGGUUGGCGAACUGAAGGGGGCUCGCUUCUGGUGGCGGGCUUGCGGGAGGGGGGGUUUUCUGGUUCCCCCGCCCGAACUGGGCUGCGAUGGACGGCUGGCCUUCCGAAAGGAGGGCUGGCCGCCCUUCGCCGCCUUGCUGUUU
This 895-nucleotide ribosomal RNA is filed under the name Sinergasilus major. Its description in RNAcentral is "eukaryotic LSU rRNA". The stretch from base 447 to 600 matches the Rfam family "5.8S ribosomal RNA". The record is from RNAcentral. Lineage: Eukaryota; Metazoa; Arthropoda; Copepoda; Poecilostomatoida; Ergasilidae.